RNAcentral lists this long non-coding RNA (2505 nucleotides) under Numida meleagris (helmeted guineafowl). RNAcentral's name for it is "lncRNA (ENSNMEG00000016048.1)". The record is from RNAcentral. Lineage: Eukaryota; Metazoa; Chordata; Aves; Galliformes; Numididae.
AUGGAUACAUGCUUUGUAUCUCCAGGGCUCACUGCCUCAGGUAGGACUCCAUUUGUUGAGCCCUCCUGCUCCAGGUGGGCAGCCCUGAUGUCGGCCAAGCUCUACGUGCUCAUCAGCUGGCCUGAUGGCAGCCGUGUCAUCAGCAUGGAGAACAUCAAGGAGCCCCGCAAGCCCUUCCACCUCUACGCCGUGGGUGAGCAGGUGCUGGCCCGCUGCCCUGGCUUCAGUGGGCUCUACUGGGGCACUGUGGAAGGCAUAAGUGAGCAUAAAGAUACUUUGGAGAAGAAGCUGCUGGAAGAUAGACAGCUCCUGGAGAAGUUAAAAGACGAACCAGCUGUUCACAGCAUGAUGCCGCCCCAGCCAAAAAAAUCCAGGAAAACCUUCCCAAAAUGGACCCCGGUGAAUGCAUGCAGGAAACACCACGGUGACAGGACUUACUCUGGGAAUCCACUGCUGCGGACAGCUGAGCCCAUCCUGCCCUGCAGUGCUGGCAGCCCCUCCAUCACCAAGGAGAGACAUACCCUGGGGCCACCCCAUCCCACCAGCACCUUUGCUCCCCCAGCCACUUUUGUCAGCCUGGCUGUGCCAGGGACUUCCCAGGGUGAGGAGGACAGAGCUGGCACCACUACCAAAGAUUACGUUGCCCUGGCAAUGAAGAGGAAGUCAGAUGGCAUCUUGUCCCAGUGCCAGCAACACAUCUGUCUGAACAGCUGUGCAGAUGGAAAGCUAGAUGCUUUGCAAGAGACAGAUGGCUUCGAGAGAGUUCAGAAAAAAUUUGGUACCAGUGAAAUGGAAAGGGAGAAGAUAGAGCAGCUGGAGAGGAUGGUCUUGGACCUCCAGCAGGAUGUCCUCUCUCUGAAGAAGAAGGUGCAGAGGCUGGAAUCCCUGUCCCUCCAGGAGGAGCCCCACCGGCAGCCCUGCGAGGUGGUGGAGCUCUUCAAUGGCUACACCAAGGAACAGCUCCGAGAAGCAAUCCGCUUUGACCAGAAGAUCAGCACUGCCUGCAAGACGCUGCUCUACAAGCUCUUCACGUCCGACUACAUCCAGAGCCAUUCCAUUACGGGGCGCAGGGGCAACACUUUCCGAGAGGCGAAGCCCAUGAUGGAUGAGCGCUGCAUCAAAAUCAUCAGGGUGCUGCUGAAACAGAAGUUUGGGGACCACCUCAGCGACACGGUGAUCACAGAGAAGAUACAAAACGUGCAGAAAGCUCUGAGGCAGAAGUUUAAGACAGAAUGUCUCUGACACGGGGGUGAUUUGGUGUCUCUGGUCCUACCCUUCCCAUUGACGCACCUGGGCAUCCCUCCCAACAAUAUCGUGUCUGCAUUGCUGCUGCUUGGCUGAAUCCUCCUGAGGCACUGAAGAUGACACAAACCUUUCACAAACGUCUACCUGCAUUAAUCAGAGGGAAGUUUGCCCAACAUGGUUCAAGGUUUGCACAUUUGUCAGCACUUUACCAGUUCCUUCCCCUCCAGUCUGUGUGCCAACCUCAACAUUGGCUGGGUGUUGAUCCCUGGGUCUUUUUGAUGGACACACACAAAAGAUUGAGAUUUCCUGCUGGAUCCAAGCGUGGGUUGGUGAGCCAGCCUUGUUCCACCUUGCAGCAGUCAGGCAGGGAGACUGGUGAUGGGGCAGGAGCUGUAGCCCCAAGAAAGCAGCAUCUCCAUUUGGUAGCACCCAAUGUGACUUCUCCCUGCAUGGCACAGCAGUCCCCUCAUCCUGUGGACGGCACCUACUCCUUUAUGAAUGUGUCCUACAGCUUCCCACGGUAACAGAAGGGCAGGCUUAUUAACACAAUGCCAUAAAACCUUCAGAGAAGGAUUGUUUUUUUUUUUUUUUUUCCCCUCUGUUUUACUGUGGCUGCCUGGAAGAAGUGUCUGCACUAACAAAGUCUGCUGAACAAGAGAAGGUCUCCUAUGGAAGUUACACUGCAUUGAUUUUCCUUUCAAAAUUAGAUUAUCUCCAUGGAGAAAUCCUGCAUGUUUUUGUGAAUGGGGGCAAGCAAUGGGGCAAAAAGUGGCCAACUGCGGGUACACUUUUCCUUCAAAGAUCAGACACAUUGUGAUGCUGCUGUUAUAAUUUAAAUACCACAUUUGUAUCCUAGCUAAGAAAUUCCAGGUAAAAUCCGGUGUUUUUUUUUUUUUUUUUUUUGUCCUGUGUGAGAGGCUAUGAAAAAGGAGUAGAAAAAAACAUUUUCCUGAAUAGAUUAGAACUGGGUUCUGGGUGCAUUAGAAGUGUUUUUAAAAUUAAAAGAGUAACGUUCUGGCACCAGUCCACCUAACAGGAGUGCUGCAAAUUACCAAACAUUCCCUUUUAAAGAAGCUUCUCAGACAUUAAUUAUAUUUUAAUUUUGAAAUUAUUCAGAAAAGGAAAUGCCAGUUGCUUUGAGUUAAAAUGUUUGGUUUAAUUUAUAUAAUUUCCUCUGUUUUCAGUGUUUAAUAUCUUCAUGGCCACACAAGAAAUAAUAGAGCAAAAUAAAAACAGGGAGAAAGAAAUGUGUUAUUCUCA